Molecule: ribosomal RNA, 253 nt
Filed under: Roseburia faecis M72/1
Lineage: Bacteria; Bacillati; Bacillota; Clostridia; Lachnospirales; Lachnospiraceae
Description: partial 16S ribosomal RNA
Rfam family: Bacterial small subunit ribosomal RNA
Source: RNAcentral
UACGUAUGGUGCAAGCGUUAUCCGGAUUUACUGGGUGUAAAGGGAGCGCAGGCGGUGCGGCAAGUCUGAUGUGAAAGCCCGGGGCUCAACCACGGUACUGCAUUGGAAACUGUCGUACUAGAGUGUCGGAGGGGUAAGUGGAAUUCCUAGUGUAGCGGUGAAAUGCGUAGAUAUUAGGAGGAACACCAGUGGCGAAGGCGGCUUACUGGACGAUAACUGACGCUGAGGCUCGAAAGCGUGGGGAGCAAACAGG